UUUCCGUAGGUGAACCUGCGGAAGGAUCAUUAUUGAAACUUCAUCCGGGGCGCCGCGGCCCUCAGCACCGGUGGAAACGCCGUGCUGCGGGGGCCGCGCGUGCACUCGUCCAAACCAAACCCCUGUGAACCUUACGGGAUGGCCCGGGUCAGCGCCCGGUGCCGUUCCGCUUUAUACAAACACUUAUCAAAGAAUGAACUGAAGGCGGUCUGACCGCUGGAUAACAAACUGAAACAACUUUCAACAACGGAUCUCUUGGCUCUC
This 264-nucleotide unclassified non-coding RNA is filed under the name plant metagenome. RNAcentral describes it as "partial contains small subunit ribosomal RNA, internal transcribed spacer 1, and 5.8S ribosomal RNA". The record is from RNAcentral.